Molecule: long non-coding RNA, 2298 nt
Filed under: Homo sapiens (human)
Lineage: Eukaryota; Metazoa; Chordata; Mammalia; Primates; Hominidae
Description: HSALNT0293027
Source: RNAcentral
AAUAUUAAAACUUCAAAAACCUUAUUUUUACAAUGCAAUAAAGUUUUACAAAGUUGUCCCAUUGUAGGCAGACCUAUGCCAACCUACUUGUAAAAGUCCAAGGAAGCUGAGAGGACAAAUAAUGUGGCUGACAUAUACAGUUCCUCAGAAAGAAACAUAUAAACAUAUAAUGGGCAUUUACAAUCAGAAGCCAUGUCUGUUUCUUAGGGAGCAGCAAAACAGGAUGGUGAGUCUGCAUGCUAUUGUGGCCCAGACCCAAGGAAAGAAUAUAUGUGCUUCAGAAGGGGUGUAUAGGACAGUUGCUUAAAGGUAGGAUUAAUUGUAAGUAUGAUAACAUCAAAGUUGUCUUUACCCAAGGGCAGGAUUCACAGUAAGUACAUGCUCUUACACAAGGAAGAGUAGAUAUAGCAGAAAUCUUAGAGGGCUUCUCCAAACCAGUGUUAAUCAGAAGUCAACAUGAUGGAUUAGUAUCCAAGAUGGAGUUGCUUUAGCCUUCACAAAAGUAGCUACUUAGGUCAAGACAUCAGCACACUUAAAACCUUGCUCAUGCCUCCAUUCAGUCAUUAAACGUCUCAAGGAAAUGAUAUUUUUACUUCUAUCAUCAUGCUAUGGCUUGAAUGUCCCCUCCAAAAUUCAUGCUGAAAUUUAAUUGCCAUUGUAAUAGUGUUGAGAGAUGGGACCUUUAAGAGAUGAUUAGGUCAUAAAGGCUCUGUCCUCAUGAAUGGAUUUAUGCUGUUAUUGCAGGGGUAGGUUAGUUUUCUUGAGAGUAAUUUCAUGAUAAAAGGAAGAAGUCUGGCCUUCAUCCUCUCUGACUCAUGUACUUGCUUGCCCUUCUGCUUUCCACCAUGGAAUGAUGCAGCAUGAAGGCCUUUGCCAGAAUUAGGUGCCAUGCUCUUGAACCCCUCAGCCUCCAUAACUGAAUCUAGCAGCCCAAAGGGACAUUGCAAAUAGUAAAGAUGUGGGCUACGGAACAGCAGGCUUAAAACUCCCUAUCAAAGUGGGAAAUAAAAGGUCAUUCUCAAAGUGGCAGCCAAAGAGAUAUACUAACAAACAACAUUGAUGAGAAGGAGAUUCUGUUAAUAGGAGGAAGGAAAAGCAUCAAAGGCCCCCAAGUCUCAUACAGGGCUACUCCUUCAACCUGGGUUCCAGAAGGAAGAAGACAUGGAGCAAAACUGUAUGGACAAUGUAAUGUGAACAAGAAAUAAAGCAUCAUUUUUGUAAUAAUUUGCAGGGAAACUCAUGUUAAUGUUAUUCCACUAGACUAAAUCACCCUCCCCACCAAUUUGGCUGAUUUAUUCAGGCCCCAGCUGUCUGACCCAUGCUUCAAGUGCCAUCUCUUAUAAGAAGUCUUCAGUGAUUCCUCUAGCUAAACGUAAUCCUACCUACUGCAUAGAAUUGUUAGGAAGAGUAAAGAACAAAUUUAUCAUUCAUUUUUCCAGACACUGGACAUACACUAAUCAAGAAAAAGACAAAAAAUCUCUCAUGAAGUUUACAUUAUAGUGAAAGAAACCAACAAUUAAAAAUAAUAUAUCAGCUGUGAAAAUAAGUGAAAGAAAGAUUUUCUUAUCUCCAACAUUUCUGGGAAGGGGUGUGUCUGUGGAUUUUAUGUUACUGGAAAGAGACAAUCCAGUAGUCCACUUUGUCAGGAGUGUUUCAAACAACAUCUGUGAACCCACUGGACUUCAAGCUCCUACAGGCUAGAGAUUUGGUCUAUUUCAUCUGCAUUGUGAAAGGUCCUGGAGACUGAGAAUCAGGAAUUACUAGACUAUAAUGGAUGAGAUUUAUAAAAAAUAAGAUGAAGGUAAGCAGCUGUGCACAGCUGCUCUGCUAUAUUGGGAGGAAACUAGAACAAAGACACAAAACAAGAGUUGCAAGGGUAUAUGUACAUGUUCUGCCUGUGUUUAAGAGCCUAUCUAUGUUGCAUUUUGAGUUAUCUUGCUGGAGGAUAAGUUUGCAAGUUUGAGGCAAAAAGGCUUUGUGCUCUUGUGGUAAGAUCAUCAGGGAACAGCUCUCUGGAGGUGGUGCAGUGCAUAAGAGAGAAACUGGCUAGUGGUGGAAAUAAUACACUCCUUGGAAAAAGUAAAAGGAAAAUGUAAAAUGGAGUCUACCUUCUGGAUGCAAAGAAAUUCUCAUCAUCACGUGAUAGCAAGAUAGAAAAUAUGGUGACAACAAAAUUUUGACCAUUUAUAAAUAAUAAGUGAACUUCCAAAAAAGAAGGGAAAUGUUUGGAGACCAAAAUUAAGAGAAGCCACAAUGGUUUUGAUAUCAGGAUGAUGCUGGCCUCAUAAAAUGAGUUAG